This 406-nucleotide ribosomal RNA is filed under the name uncultured bacterium. RNAcentral describes it as "partial 16S ribosomal RNA". It matches the Rfam family "Bacterial small subunit ribosomal RNA", at positions 30 to 526 of the family's 1533-position model. The record is from RNAcentral.
AUUGAACGCUGGCGGCAGGCCUAACACAUGCAAGUCGAACGAGUGGCGGACGGGUGAGUAAUGUCUGGGAAACUGCCUGAUGGAGGGGGAUUACUACUGGAAACGGUAGCUAAUACCGCAUACCAUCGGAUGUGCCCAGAUGGGAUUAGCUAGUGGGGGGGGUAAAGGCUCACCUAGGCGACGAUCCCUAGUUGGUCUGAGAGGAGGACCAGCCACACGAGAACGGAGACACGGUCCAGACUCCUACGGGAGGCAGCAGUGGGGAAUAUUGCACAAUGGGCGCAAGCAUGAUGCAGCCAUGCCGCGUGUAUGAAGAAGGCCUUCGGGUUGUAAAGUACUUUCAGCGGGGAGGCGUUACCCGCAGAAGAAGCACCGGCUAACUCCGUGCCAGCAGCCGCGGUAAUAC